Molecule: ribosomal RNA, 492 nt
Filed under: uncultured bacterium
Lineage: Bacteria
Description: partial 16S ribosomal RNA
Rfam family: Bacterial small subunit ribosomal RNA
Source: RNAcentral
AGUGAACGCUGGCGGUAGGCCUAACACAUGCAAGUCGAACGGCAGCACAGUAAGAGCUUGCUCUUACGGGUGGCGAGUGGCGGACGGGUGAGGAAUACAUCGGAAUCUACUUUUUCGAGGGGGAUAACGUAGGGAAAAUUACGCUAAUACCGCAUACGACCUACGGGUGAAAGCAGGGGAUCUUCGGACCUUACGCGAUUGAAUGAGCCGAUGUCGGAUUAGCUAGUUGGCGGGGUAAAGGCCCACCAAGGCGACGAUCCGUAGCUGGUCUGAGAGGAUGAUCAGCCACACUGGAACUGAGACACGGUCCAGACUCCUACGGGAGGCAGCAGUGGGGAAUAUUGGACAAUGGGCGCAAGCCUGAUCCAGCCAUGCCGCGUGGGUGAAGAAGGCCUUCGGGUUGUAAAGCCCUUUUGUUGGGAAAGAAAAGCAGCAGGUUAAUACCCCGCUGUUCUGACGGUACCCAAAGAAUAAGCACCGGCUAACUUCGUG